Molecule: transfer RNA, 65 nt
Filed under: Dipodomys ordii (Ord's kangaroo rat)
Lineage: Eukaryota; Metazoa; Chordata; Mammalia; Rodentia; Heteromyidae
Rfam family: tRNA
About the family: Transfer RNA (tRNA) molecules are approximately 80 nucleotides in length. Their secondary structure includes four short double-helical elements and three loops (D, anti-codon, and T loops).
Source: Rfam by way of RNAcentral
GGUGGCUCAGUGGUAGAGCGCUGACCUUGCAUGCCUGAGGCCUUGGGUUCGAUUCCUCGGCACCA